This 460-nucleotide ribosomal RNA is filed under the name uncultured bacterium. RNAcentral's name for it is "partial 16S ribosomal RNA". It matches the Rfam family "Bacterial small subunit ribosomal RNA", at positions 338 to 795 of the family's 1533-position model. The record is from RNAcentral.
CCUACGGGAGGCAGCAGUGAGGAAUAUUGGUCAAUGGGCGAGAGCCUGAACCAGCCAAGUAGCGUGAAGGAUGACUGCCCUACGGGUUGUAAACUUCUUUUAUAAAGGAAUAAAGUGAGGCACGUGUGCCUUUUUGUAUGUACUUUAUGAAUAAGGAUCGGCUAACUCCGUGCCAGCAGCCGCGGUAAUACGGAGGAUCCGAGCGUUAUCCGGACUUAGUGGGUUUAAAGGGAGCGUAGGGGGGUUGUUAAGUCAGUUGUGAAAGUCUGCGGCUUAACCGUAAAAUUGCAAUUGAUACUGGCAGCCUUGAGUACAGUAGAGGUAGGCGGAAUUCGUGGUGUAGCGGUAAAAUGCGUAGAUAUCACGAAGAACACCGAUUGCGAAGGCGGCCUACUAGACCGUCACUGACACUGAUGCGCGAAAGUGUGGGUAUCAAACAGGAUUAGAUACCCGAGUAGUC